This 1167-nucleotide long non-coding RNA is filed under the name Lonchura striata (white-rumped munia). RNAcentral's name for it is "domestica (Bengalese finch) lncRNA (ENSLSDG00000010798.1)". Lineage: Eukaryota; Metazoa; Chordata; Aves; Passeriformes; Estrildidae. The record is from RNAcentral.
GCACCGCCGGGCGGGCAGAGCUGGGGAGCUCAGCUCCCCGCCCGUGGCCCUCCGCCAGCAGCCCCUCUCCCCGAGACCUGGGCUCUUAAUGAGGGAUGACGGUGGUUUCUCUAACUUUGAGACCCAACAGAGCAGAACUUCCCCAAGGCAGGAUCCUCCGGACGGUAAGUUUGAUAUUUAGAUUAAGAUCACUUCCUCACGGGCUCCUGUAGUGUGCGUGUGAGUAUGUGAAUGUGAGGAAGACGAGGAGAGGGAGCAAGCUCAGCUCAGAGUGACCAUAAAAGAGAGAGAAGAAACCACCAAGAGCACGACUUGGUUUUUUUUUGGGAAGUGCUCUUAAAGGGAGGUGGGGUGGGAGCGGGAGGCCGCCGAGGCUGAGACGGGGAGCGCAGUCGAGCUGCCCCUGCCUCUUCGCAACCUCCCUCUGCAGGGCAUUGCUCCAGGCCGAGGGUAAGAAGGUGCACUUAGACGGCGGCAAGAGAGCCUGCACACCCCCCGGGGACAGAGUUUGCCUCCUGAACUACACUUCUCUUAAUGAAGAACAGUAGCUCCGACCUCCAAACCAACUGGGACUGGCGCUUUAAAGUAGCUGCGAACAGUGCUCCGGUGUCUCAACAUGGUCACGUAGGAAUUUGAACCUUUUAAUUUCCAGACACAAGGAAUAACUCCCUCGGAGCACCGGCUUGGUUUAGGUGGUCGAUUGUUGGGUGUUUCGGUCGGAGUUUUUGAUUUUUUUUUUUUUCUAAUAAGGUAGCGAGGGAAGAUGGGGUACUAUUCCCUUGUAGACACAGAACAUAAAGGGGAAGAAAAAGCCUAGCCGGGGCAUAUUUGGCUGUGGGGAACCUGCCCGAGCCGCUCUGCAUCCCCGGCGGGAUAGCGGUCGGGGCUGCGGGCGCUGCCGCCGGCCCGGCCCAGCCCUCACCCCGGCCCUGCGCGGCAGCCAACGGGCGCGUCGCCUGGUGUGACCUUCGGGGAGCACAUUUCAACUGCUAAACACCGAGAAAAGUGCUUCUCUCUCUCGCAGGCGCCAUAUUACCGCCGGGAGCCGGGGCUGGGGCGGGGGGAGGGCGGGUGCGCAGUUAGUCUAGUUUUCCGCAGUUGUUAAUUCAGACUGGACGAGCACUCGAUGGCUCCAUAAAAAGAAAGAAAUAAAGAAAGAAAAAAACA